This 241-nucleotide ribosomal RNA is filed under the name uncultured Actinomycetales bacterium. RNAcentral describes it as "partial 16S ribosomal RNA". It matches the Rfam family "Bacterial small subunit ribosomal RNA", at positions 89 to 334 of the family's 1533-position model. Lineage: Bacteria; Bacillati; Actinomycetota; Actinomycetes; Actinomycetales. The record is from RNAcentral.
ACUCGAGUGGCGAACGGGUGAGUAACACGUGGGUGAUCUGCCCUGCACUCUGGGAUAAGCCUGGGAAACUGGGUCUAAUACCGGAUAGGACCAUGCUUUAGUGUGUGCGGUGGAAAGUUUUUCGGUGUAGGAUGAGCCCGCGGCCUAUCAGCUUGUUGGUGGGGUAAUGGCCUACCAAGGCGGCGACGGGUAGCCGGACUGAGAGGUUGGUCGGCCACAUUGGGACUGAGAUACGGCCCAG